RNAcentral lists this unclassified non-coding RNA (547 nucleotides) under Melitaea cinxia (Glanville fritillary). RNAcentral's name for it is "misc RNA ENSMCXG00005021783.1". The record is from RNAcentral. Lineage: Eukaryota; Metazoa; Arthropoda; Insecta; Lepidoptera; Nymphalidae.
UUUUUUUUUUUUUUUUUUAAUUUAAUAGAUUAUUUAAUAGGCUUACAGUAUUAUUACAAAGAUACAUAUAAAAUUAAUGUUAAAAAUAAGUACAACACCCGUAGGGCUAGAGAAAAUAAAUUAAUUAAACCAAAGAUACAUAAUUACUAUGGGGCAAGAACAUCUCGAUAUCUGGUUCCUAAAGUAUUUAAUAAAAUAGAUUUUUUAAGACAAGAUUUGGGAAUUAGUAUUGGCUCACUUAAGAAAAAACUUAAACAAUAUAUUUUGGAAAGUUAAAAAAAAAAAAAAAAAUGUUAAAAAACCUGUCAUUGUAUUAAAAAAAAAUAUUUCGUUUUCAAAAAUUAUUUUUCAUUUUUCUUAUGUUUUAAGCAUAGUUUGUAGUUGGAUUAAGUUAAGAGAAUGUCAUAUUUUGCUUAUUUACAAUGUCGUUAUGUGUUAAAUAAGAGCGUGUCUCGCCAUCAAACAGCAAAGUUUGGCGAGGACAAUCAAGCUGUAAGACCAUUGUAAUUAUUUUUGAAAUAAAUUAAAUUAAAAAAAAAAAAAAAAA